RNAcentral lists this long non-coding RNA (3402 nucleotides) under Marmota monax (woodchuck). The record is from RNAcentral. Lineage: Eukaryota; Metazoa; Chordata; Mammalia; Rodentia; Sciuridae.
GAGAGAGAGAGAGAGAGAGAGAAGGAAGGAGGGAGGGAGGGAGAGGGAGAAAGAGAGACUGGAAACAAAGAAUCCUUGUCUCUAAGCCCUAGCAGGCAGGAAACCCCAAUCCCGAGGGAAUUUAUCCAGCCAGCCCUGUCCCGGAGUCAGACUCCAGCCCUCUGAAUUCAAUUUGACAGCUUGUCUGGGACACUUUCUAAGUAACCAUUAUCCUUCCUUUCUCUAAGUAAAAGAACUGUUAUUCCUUUCCGUGGGUGUGCUGUGUGCACUGUUAUUGCACACGUGUGGUUAUAUGGUGACGGGGACACACUUUCUCUAAAUUAUUGGAAACAGUUAGCAUGUUUUUUAAGACAAGUGUAAAUUUGUUCCAGGAUAAUGAGGCAAAAGACUUUUAGUAUUAGCCAUUGCCUCGUUAGAGGCAGUCCUAUUUCAGCAGAAGAGAAAUUUUGUUGGGGUGUUGGGUGUAUGCAUUUCAUUCCUUUGAGAAUUCCUUUGAAACUGACACAGACAAAAGUGCCCUCUGAUGACCAGUGCCCUUAGUCUCUGCAUAGACUGACAGAUGAUAAUUUUGAAUAGAUGUGUCACCAUACAUCUUAUUGUAAAGGGAACUCAAAUGUACACUUAUGACCACAGCAAGGCAGAAGUUAUGGGGACAAGCAGGCACAAUGAGAGGUGACUGCCUAGAGUUCAAAGGGUGCCCUGUUCUGUCUGGAAAUGGGGCCAUACUAGGCCCUGGUGACUUUGCUGUCAUGUUGGGAGGGACUGUGCACAGCCACCCUUCCAGUCUAUUUGUAUUUGAAGACCAUCCAGAGGCAGUUCUGUAGGAUCAGUCCAGGCAUAAGUUCCGGAACAAUCUGGAUGACCUGGAAGCUUAGAGAUGCCACAGCUUUGCCCAAUAGGAUUUUUGUAUUUUACCUGUUUACAUUCUGACCAAAAGAUUUGCCCUUCAAAUAAGAAUUGAUUCCUGUAGUCUGUCUGUAAAGUACAAUAUGGACUGCUUCAACAUUCUCUCCUUGCCUAGUAUACCCUUCCUCCCCUGCCUCACCCCCAACCCCACUACAGUCCAUAUUCUAGCAAACCACACACACCUUUAAAGCUCCAGUCAGAUGGUGCUGCCUUGUUUAUAGUCCCAUCUGCCCAUUCCCCAAGGUGCUUUGAAAUCAAUUUCAUUUGAAAAAUGAGGGCUGAAGAUGGAUAGCAGUCUGAUAAAUCAAGCUGUACAAAUUACAGACAAGCAACCCUCUGUCCUUGUAAGCUUCAUAGCUCUGUGGUUCUCAACAAGGAGUAAAAAAGGAAAUCAGAGUCAUUUGGGGAUGCACCUCAAAGACACUUGCCAGGAUGUUCAAGGGACCUACCCUGCCCCACCCACCUUCCUGCAUAAAUUCUGCAGUGUACCUGGUAGGUGAAAGAGCAGGCAGGACGUUGGAGCGAGCCCUUGUGUUCUUAGAAUAAGCACCUUCUGUUGCUUCUGAAAUGUUCUCACCUCUUUGCUCCAGCAUUGUGAGCUAGAGUUUUAGUCAGCACUUAAUGAAGAAGACUUGUAGCUCCCUAGCUCACAUCAGCAUCCUUCCUGCCACCAUGGGUCUACUUCUUCACCCCCAACCCCUGUGCCAGAAGGCACCAGUCCCAGACCCAUUCCUGCUGCUCAGAAGUCCCCCCUUAGACCUUCCUCUUUCCUCAGGCAUGUCUUCUUCGGUCUUUAUGCCUACCAAAGAUGCUCUUAGACGCUCCCUGGAGGGGGAAAAAAAAGGACCUGGCAGUACUCAUUCAUCCUGCAAUGUUAAUGACAACAACAAAUGCAUGAGCCCUGAUGCGUUUUAAUAAAAGAAUGUGAUUUUGUGUGAGCCUUGAAGGGGUGGGAGAAGGUGGGAGGCUGUGGAAAGGUAGUUGUGGGUGACUUGGCCCCCUGAGCAGGCUUCCAACCAGACUCAGCCUCCGACUACACCUCCCACACAGCUAGGGAGGGGCCCUGAGACUGUAGCGCUCAGAGGCCUGGAGCUCCACUAUGCUGAUAGACUAGUUUUUCAGUGGCAGUUCAUACUUCCGAAGUAGACCUUCCAGGUUUUGCAUUCCGAAUUCAUCUCUAGACUCUGGGCAAUGACUAUUUCAGUCCUGCCAUGUCUACCAAGUUUCACUUUGACUUGGGCUCUCAUCCCAGUCCAGAUGACAAAGCUAAGACUCAAAAUGAAAUUGGUCUUAGUUAAUGUAGCUGUAUCAGCACUGCCAUGUGGUCUGGCUUUGUAACUCAAUGUGGCCCCUAUUGGCUGUGUUCAGGAACAGGAGUCCAAAAUACCUUGAAAUAAUUGAAAAAUAAUUGAAAUAAAGGGAGAGUCCAUGAGUCCAUGGGGUUCCAGACGACCCCCUGGUGGCCACCUCUUCAAAGACUAUCCUAAACAUGUUUUGCCUGUAUGUUGAUUUAGAAAUCCCAUGAUAGGGAGGUAGUUUGGAGGGCAUUGGUUAUUAGAAAAUACAGGCAGUCCUUCAUAUGCAGGGGUUCCAUGUGCACAGAUUCAAACAACCACAGACUGAAAAUAUUUGGGAGAAGAAAUGCAUCUGUACUGAACUUAUACAGACUUUUUCUUUGUCAUUAUUCCCUAAAUAAUACAGUAUAAUAACUAUUUGCCUUGUAUCAGGUACAUGAGAAAUCCAGAGAUGUCUUAAGAUAUAUGAGAGAAUGUGCAUAGGAUGUAUACAAAUAAUACACCCUUUCAUGUAAGGAUUUGAGCAUUUUUGGACUUGGAGAUACAAAGCGAUGACUAUAUUCUUGAAAAGUUUGUUUAGUCCCAUGCUCAUAAACCAAAUUCUAUCUAGCCAGCUAUCACAUAUCCAUUAUCUGUAUAUGUAUUUGUCUGUCUAUUGUUCUACCUACUAUCUAUCUGGAGAAAGAGAGACAGAGGAGCUUCUCUCAGGCCAGUCAGGGGUACCAGGGCUCAGGGCAUCUUCUAGAGAAAAGCCAAGGUAUACAUAAUAUCAUUUGCUAUUUUCAUACCAAAAUCUUUCCUAAGCUCUUUUAAUAGAUGUAACAACUUCCUUUCUUCAGAGAAGCCACAAUCUAAGAUAACAGGGAGCUCUCGUAUUGUGAAAUAUCCCUGUGGAAGAGGGUGAAGUCUUCAAGAAAGAAAUCCUGGGGCUACACUAACCAGGACAGGAAUGGUCUAUUCCUCUCUGGUCUUUGGGAACAAUAAACUCCCACACAUGAGGAUCAAGAAGUUUAACACGGCUCUUUAAUAAAGUUUGAAUUUUUGUCAGGCAUAAUCUAAAGAGAAUAUGAUAAUAUUAAGUGGGACAAUUACUUUGUCAAAAUCCAACACGCCCUUCAAUGCCUGAUUCAUUUCUUCAGCCUCCAGCUCUAUUUUUCCUUAUCCCUCAGACUACAGCCUCUUUACUGAACUCCCCACAUUC